Molecule: long non-coding RNA, 783 nt
Filed under: Mytilus galloprovincialis (Mediterranean mussel)
Lineage: Eukaryota; Metazoa; Mollusca; Bivalvia; Mytilida; Mytilidae
Source: RNAcentral
UUGGACAAAAAAGUUUCAACAAGAGUGCACACGCUGAAAUGUCUCGCCUUCUAUACUAAUCAUUGAUAUUAUGUUGAUAGUCCUAAGUAUAAAGCUAAGCUUUAAUACAACUGUCACAUAAACUAAACAUUAACCAAGAUAACUAAACAAAGACCAAUGAACCUUGAAAAUGAGGUCAAGGUCAGAUGAACCAUGCCAGUCAGACAUGUACAGCUAACAAUGCUUCUAUACAACAUAUAUAGUUGACCUAUUACUUAUAGUUUAAGAAAAAUAGACCAAAAACACAAAACUUAACACUGUGCAAUGAACCGUGAAAAUGAGGUCACGGUCAAAUAAAACCUGCGCGACUGACAUAAAGAUCAUAAAAUAUUUCCAUACACCAAAUAUAGAUGACCUAUGGCAUAUAGUAUUAGAUAAAAAGACCAAAACUCAAAAACUUAACUUUGACCACUGAACCAUGAAAAUGAGGUCAAGUUCACAUGACAUCUGCCCGCUAGACAGGUACACCUUACAAUCAUUCUAUACAACAAAUAUAGUAGACCUAUUGCAUAUAGUAUGAGAAAAACAGACCAAAACACAAAAAUUUAACUAUAACCACUGAACCAUGAAAAUGAGGUCAAGGUCAGAUGACACCUGCCAGUUGGACAUGUACACCUUACAGUCCUUCCAUACACCGAAUAUACUAGCCCUAUUGCUUGUAGUAUCUGAGAUAUGGACUUGACCACCAAAACUUAACCUUGUUCACUGAUCCAUGAAAUGAGGUCGAGGUCAAGUGAAAACUGU